GACGAACGCUGGCGGCGUGCUUAACACAUGCAAGUCGAACGGAAAGGCCUCUUUCGGGGGGUACUCGAGUGGCGAACGGGUGAGUAACACGUGAGUAACCUGCCCUUGACUUUGGGAUAACUUCAGGAAACUGGGGCUAAUACCGGAUAGGAGCUCCUGCUGCAUGGUGGGGGUUGGAAAGUUUCGGCGGUUGGGGAUGGACUCGCGGCUUAUCAGCUUGUUGGUAGGGUAGUGGCUUACCAAGGCUUUGACGGGUAGCCGGCCUGAGAGGGUGACCGGCGACAUUGGGACUGAGAUACGGCCCAGACUCCUACGGGAGGCAGCAGUGGGGAAUAUUGCACAAUGGGUGGAAGCCUGAUGCAGCAACGCCGUGUGCGGGAUGACGGCCUUCGGGUUGUAAACCGCUUUCGCUCAUGACGAAGCUUUGUGUGACGGUAGUGGGUAAAGAAGCACCGGCUAACUACGUG
RNAcentral lists this ribosomal RNA (467 nucleotides) under uncultured bacterium. RNAcentral's name for it is "partial 16S ribosomal RNA". It matches the Rfam family "Bacterial small subunit ribosomal RNA", at positions 28 to 507 of the family's 1533-position model. The record is from RNAcentral.